GAUGAAGAACGCAGCGAAAGGCGAUAAGUAGUGUGAAUUUCAGAAUUCAGUGAAUCAUCGAAUCUUUGAACGCACAUUGCGCCCUUUGGUAUUCCUUAGGGCAUGCCUGUUCGAGCGUCAUUUAAACCUUCAAGCUCAGCUUGGUGUUGGGUGACUGUCCGCUUCACCGCGGACUCGCCUCAAAAUUAUUGGCGGCCGGUACAUUGGCUUCGAGCGCAGCAGAAACGCGAACUCGGGCCCGUCGUAUUGGCUCCCAGAAGCUAUCUUCACAAUUUUGACCUCGGAUCAGGUAGGGAUACCCGCUGAACUUAAGCAUAUCAUAAGCGGAGGA
Molecule: unclassified non-coding RNA, 331 nt
Filed under: soil metagenome
Description: partial contains 5.8S ribosomal RNA, internal transcribed spacer 2, and large subunit ribosomal RNA
Rfam family: 5.8S ribosomal RNA (bases 1-120)
Source: RNAcentral